Molecule: ribosomal RNA, 415 nt
Filed under: uncultured bacterium
Lineage: Bacteria
Description: bacterial SSU rRNA
Rfam family: Bacterial small subunit ribosomal RNA
Source: RNAcentral
GGGCCCGCACAAGCGGUGGAGCAUGUGGUUUAAUUCGAUGCAACGCGAAGAACCUUACCAAGGCUUGACAUACUACAGAUUUCUUUGAAAAAGGAAAGUGCCUUCGGGAAUGUAGAUACAGGUGGUGCAUGGCUGUCGUCAGCUCGUGUCGUGAGAUGUUGGGUUAAGUCCCGCAACGAGCGCAACCCUUAUUUUUAGUUGCCAUCAUUAAGUUGGGCACUCUGAAAGAACUGCCAGUGAUAAGCUGGAGGAAGGUGGGGAUGACGUCAAGUCAGCAUGCCCCUUACACCCUGGGCUACACACGUGCUACAUUGGGCGAGACAAUGAGAUGCAAAUCUGUGAAGACUAGCUAAUCUCAUAAACUUAGCCUAAGUUCGGAUUGUAGGCUGCAACUCGCCUGCAUGAAGUCGGAAUC